AUCUAGAUACUAUACGUGCCAUCUACGUUUUCAAGCACAAGUUUAACUACUCACUACUCAACUUGUACGAUAUUGAGAAACUAAGGCCAAGUUGCAUAGUGUCAGUUUGGUUUCAUGCCCUAAAAGCGUGCAAGCUGCCACCGACAUGCAGGUGAGACUGCAGCUGCACUGGAUGCCUUUUCUGGGUAGCCCUUAAAUGAGGUUCACAUUAAAGUUUUGUUCCUUCAUAUGAAAAGCUGUUGGAGUUGUUACGAGAACCGCAGCUUUUAGAUUCACUGUUCGCUGGCUCCAAUACUUCAAAGCAUGUGCUUAGGUUUCGUUGCGCUUUCUUGGACCGAGUCUUUUUCACAUUUGAUUUGUUAGAAAUCGCUGAUCCAUCAAUGCGCUGGAUCCAUUCAACAUGAAAAUGUUAGUCCUUCUCCGAAUAACUCUAACCUGCAUCAGAAUUAAGACACACACUUGCAAUAACACAGUAUCUCCUCAGAUGUGGUCAAAUCAAGGACUAUAUGAGCUUCUUACAUACUACUGAAACUGUUCUUACAGUUUCAUACUUGGCCUAACACAAUCCCAUGUUAUGCACUAGUGUUUCAAACAUUCCAAAGGGCAAUCCUUUGGUAAAGGUAUUCCGCCAGGUACGGUAGGUAGCGAAGCACUGCUGAGCAAUCCGUCAAGUUUUCUUUUGAAGCAACUCCGUUUACAUUUAUCUCGUUCUUCUUAAUCAUGUCUCUUAUGCAGUGACUAUGAGCUUCGGUAUGAUUUGCACGAGUGUAGCAUCAAUUAUCUCUUAGUGAUAGUUAUAGCCAAAUUGUUGUCGCGAAAUAUAGUAAUUGGUCUUUUGAAAGCAAUUUACAAUCAGGAUUUCAGAAA
Syzygium oleosum is the source of this 867-nucleotide long non-coding RNA. RefSeq lists it as uncharacterized. The record is from RefSeq and is a predicted model, not a curated record. The transcript is spliced from 2 exons. Lineage: Eukaryota; Viridiplantae; Streptophyta; Magnoliopsida; Myrtales; Myrtaceae.